RNA transcript from Homo sapiens (human), 1618 nucleotides. It is a transcript of the gene named collectin subfamily member 11, with no coding region annotated. NCBI's taxonomy places the organism in Eukaryota, Metazoa, Chordata, Mammalia, Primates, Hominidae. The record is from RefSeq and is marked reviewed. The transcript is spliced from 8 exons.
AGUGUCCUCGCGGGCCAGCGACGGGCAGGACGCCCCGUUCGCCUAGCGCGUGCUCAGGAGUUGGUGUCCUGCCUGCGCUCAGGAUGAGGGGGAAUCUGGCCCUGGUGGGCGUUCUAAUCAGCCUGGCCUUCCUGUCACUGCUGCCAUCUGGACAUCCUCAGCCGGCUGGCGAUGACGCCUGCUCUGUGCAGAUCCUCGUCCCUGGCCUCAAAGGGGAUGCGGGAGAGAAGGGAGACAAAGGCGCCCCCGGACGGCCUGGAAGAGUCGGCCCCACGGGAGAAAAAGGAGACAUGGGGGACAAAGGACAGAAAGGCAGUGUGGGUCGUCAUGGAAAAAUUGGUCCCAUUGGCUCUAAAGGUGAGAAAGGAGAUUCCGGUGACAUAGGACCCCCUGGUCCUAAUGGAGAACCAGCUCCUUCGGCACCGCAGAGAUGAGGAGGAACGGCUGCUUGGAAGGUGUGCUUGCCGGUGUGACUUGGCUGAGUGUGAGUGCGCUGAGAUCAGUGUCACUGACUGGCCGAGCAGCAUCCGCUCAGGGCACCUCCAGGCACUCAGCCAACCUGAGGGGCCCGGACAAAGCCUCUGGGAGACAGAAGGACCUGGAGGCCUCCCAUGUGAGUGCAGCCAGCUGCGCAAGGCCAUCGGGGAGAUGGACAACCAGGUCUCUCAGCUGACCAGCGAGCUCAAGUUCAUCAAGAAUGCUGUCGCCGGUGUGCGCGAGACGGAGAGCAAGAUCUACCUGCUGGUGAAGGAGGAGAAGCGCUACGCGGACGCCCAGCUGUCCUGCCAGGGCCGCGGGGGCACGCUGAGCAUGCCCAAGGACGAGGCUGCCAAUGGCCUGAUGGCCGCAUACCUGGCGCAAGCCGGCCUGGCCCGUGUCUUCAUCGGCAUCAACGACCUGGAGAAGGAGGGCGCCUUCGUGUACUCUGACCACUCCCCCAUGCGGACCUUCAACAAGUGGCGCAGCGGUGAGCCCAACAAUGCCUACGACGAGGAGGACUGCGUGGAGAUGGUGGCCUCGGGCGGCUGGAACGACGUGGCCUGCCACACCACCAUGUACUUCAUGUGUGAGUUUGACAAGGAGAACAUGUGAGCCUCAGGCUGGGGCUGCCCAUUGGGGGCCCCACAUGUCCCUGCAGGGUUGGCAGGGACAGAGCCCAGACCAUGGUGCCAGCCAGGGAGCUGUCCCUCUGUGAAGGGUGGAGGCUCACUGAGUAGAGGGCUGUUGUCUAAACUGAGAAAAUGGCCUAUGCUUAAGAGGAAAAUGAAAGUGUUCCUGGGGUGCUGUCUCUGAAGAAGCAGAGUUUCAUUACCUGUAUUGUAGCCCCAAUGUCAUUAUGUAAUUAUUACCCAGAAUUGCUCUUCCAUAAAGCUUGUGCCUUUGUCCAAGCUAUACAAUAAAAUCUUUAAGUAGUGCAGUAGUUAAGUCCAAAUAGUGGCAAUGGGGUCUUGAAUUACUACCUUUUAAUUUCUAUAUGGAAAAGAACUCACUUUGACCAACACUUCUGUAAAUUACAUUACAAUAUAGGUUCCUUCACACUAUUAUCCAUGUAAAAACAAUUUUGCUUUGCUUCAAACCCAGAUUUCAGGAAAACAACAACAAAAUUCUCCAAACUUUA